Molecule: ribosomal RNA, 433 nt
Filed under: uncultured bacterium
Lineage: Bacteria
Description: partial 16S ribosomal RNA
Rfam family: Bacterial small subunit ribosomal RNA
Source: RNAcentral
AGCGAACGCUGGCGGCAUGCCUAACACAUGCAAGUCGAACGAACUCUUCGGAGUUAGUGGCGGACGGGUGAGUAACACGUGGGAACGUGCCUUUUGGUUCGGAAUAACUCAGGGAAACUUGUGCUAAUACCGAAUGUGCCCUUCGGGGGAAAGAUUUAUCGCCAUUAGAGCGGCCCGCGUCUGAUUAGCUAGUUGGUGAGGUAACGGCUCACCAAGGCGACGAUCAGUAGCUGGUCUGAGAGGAUGACCAGCCACACUGGGACUGAGACACGGCCCAGACUCCUACGGGAGGGAGCAGAGGGGAAUCUUGCGCAAUGGGGGAAAGCCUGACGCAGCCAUGCCGCGUGAAUGAUGAAGGUCGUAGGAUUGUAAAAUUCUUUCACCGGGGACGAUAAUGACGGUACCCGGAGAAGAAGCCCCGGCUAACUUCGUG